AAAUUGAAGAGUUUGAUCAUGGCUCAGAUUGAACGCUGGCGGCAGGCCUAACACAUGCAAGUCGAGCGGUAGCACAGAGAGCUUGCUCUCGGGUGACGAGCGGCGGACGGGUGAGUAAUGUCUGGGAAACUGCCUGAUGGAGGGGGAUAACUACUGGAAUCGGUAGCUAAUACCGCAUAAUGUCGCAAGACCAAAGUGGGGGACCUUCGGGCCUCAUGCCAUCAGAUGUGCCCAGAUGGGAUUAGCUAGUAGG
Molecule: ribosomal RNA, 253 nt
Filed under: Klebsiella pneumoniae
Lineage: Bacteria; Pseudomonadati; Pseudomonadota; Gammaproteobacteria; Enterobacterales; Enterobacteriaceae
Description: partial 16S ribosomal RNA
Rfam family: Bacterial small subunit ribosomal RNA
Source: RNAcentral